RNAcentral lists this long non-coding RNA (175 nucleotides) under Cyanistes caeruleus (blue tit). RNAcentral's name for it is "lncRNA (ENSCCEG00000019559.1)". Lineage: Eukaryota; Metazoa; Chordata; Aves; Passeriformes; Paridae. The record is from RNAcentral.
AAGAAGAAGAAGUAUGGGCCCCAGCAUGACUAGAGGUGCUUUAUUUGUGCAGAACUCAGAAAUGGAAUUUCUGAUGGAGACAGUAGUGAACAGAGAACAGCUUAUUGAAUUUGUGUGCAUGCAGCACAGAGCUGAAGGAGACUGCCAGAGAAGGGAGGUUCUGAAUUUAUUGUGA